AGGUGAACCUGCGGAAGGAUCAUUACCGAGUACGGGUCCCUAUCCCCUUCCCGGGGGGUGGGGGCCCAGACCUCCCACCCUUGUCGAUUGUACCGUGUUGCUUCGGCGGGCCCGCCAUGGUUGGCCGCCGGGGGGUUCGCGAAUGCCGCCCCCGGGCCUGUGCCCGCCGGAGACUCCCUCGAAACGCUACUGUGGUCAGGAAUGCUGUCUGAGUCUUGAGAAAUUGAUCAAAAAACUUUCAACAAUGGAUCUCUUGGUUCCGGCAUCGAUGAAGAACGCAGCGAAAUGCGAUAAGUAAUGCGAAUUGCAGAAUUCCGUGAGUCAUCGAAUCUUUGAACGCACAUUGCGCCCCCCGGCUUCCCGGGGGGCAUGCCUGUCCGAGCGUCAUUGCCAUCCCCUCAAGCUCUGCUUGGCUUGUUGGGCCAGCGUCCGCCUGCGGCUCCUGUCGCGGGGGGACGGGCCCGAAAGGCAGUGGCGGCUCCUGGAGACUUGGUCCUUUGGGCGGUGAUGCAUGGGUCUCUUCAUCCACCGCCCCGUUGGCCACGCCCCGGGAGUCUGUCGAACGAUUGGUCUUCCCCCUUUAGGUUGACCUCGGAUCAGGUAGGGAUACCCGCUGAACUUAAGCAUAUCAAUAAGCGGAGGAAAAGAAACCAACCGGGAUUGCCUCAGUAACGGCGAGUGAAGCGGCAAGAGCUCAAAUUUGAAAUCUGGCCCCUUCCCCGGGGUCCGAGUUGUAAUUUGGAGAGGAUGCUUCGGGUCCGGUCCCGGUCCAAGUGCCCUGGGAUGGGCUGUCGGAGAGGGUGAGAAUCCCGUCUGCGACCGGUGGCUGGGCCUGGGUGAAGCUCCCUCGACGAGUCGAGUUGUUUGGGAAUGCAGCUCUAAAUGGGUGGUAAAUUUCAUCUAAAGCUAAAUAUGGGCCGGAGACCGAUAGCGCACAAGUAGAGUGAUCGAAAGAUGAAAAGCACUUUGGAAAGAGAGUCAAACAGCACGUGAAAUUGUUGAAAGGGAAGCGCUUGCGAUCAGACUCGCCCGGGGAGGUUCAACCGUGCACUUGUGCCGGUGCAUUCCUGCCCGGGCGGGCCAGCGUCGGUUUGGACGGCCCGUCAAAGGCCCCCGGAAGGUAGCGCCCCGCAUGGGGCGUCUUAUAGCCGGGGGUGUCAUGCGGCCUGUCUGGACCGAGGAACGCGCCUUCGGGCUCGGACGCUGGCGUAAUGGUCGUAAGCGGCCCGUCUUGAAACACGGACCAAGGAGUCUAACAUCCACGCGAGUGUUCGGGUGUUCAAAACCCGUCCGCGCAGUGAAAGCGAACGGAGGUGGGAACCCUCUCCCCGGGGGGUGCACCAUCGACCGAUCCUGAUGUCUUCGGAUGGAUUUGAGUAGGAGCGUGGCUGUUGGGACCCGAAAGAUGGUGAACUAUGCCUGAAUAGGGUGAAGCCAGAGGAAACUCUGGUGGAGGCUCGCAGCGGUUCUGACGUGCAAAUCGAUCGUCAAAUUUGGGUAUAGGGGCGAAAGACUAAUCGAACCAUCUGGUAGCUGGUUCCUGCCGAAGUUUCCCUCAGGAUAGCAGUAACGAGAUCAGUUU
RNAcentral lists this ribosomal RNA (1582 nucleotides) under Elaphomyces muricatus. Its description in RNAcentral is "eukaryotic LSU rRNA". The stretch from base 587 to 1582 matches the Rfam family "Eukaryotic large subunit ribosomal RNA", at positions 1 to 1001 of the family's 3401-position model. Lineage: Eukaryota; Fungi; Ascomycota; Eurotiomycetes; Eurotiales; Elaphomycetaceae. The record is from RNAcentral.